GCUUGUUCUGCCUAUUGUGACUCAUUUGUUCCCAUUGGAAACGACAAGCUGUGGUCUUUCUUGGUUUAGUUAUAAAAAUAUUUGGUUUUGUGCAAAUUCUGACUUGUGACAUUAAAUCGACGGCAAGCAUCAGAGUCAACGCAGCAAAAACACAUGCAAUUUAUUCAAUCUCCGAUCAUUGAAAUCAAGCCAUCCAGAAUGACACUAUACGAUUGAGGAUUAUGACGUUUUCCAGAUGGCUGGACGUACCUGUAUAGAAAGGGGAGAUAAUGUUCAGGUUCUGAGUAGUAAAGCUGAAGAACAUACGCACAUCCAGUCCCAAGGAGCUGCUGGUUGGCUUGCUUGAGCAGGUGGAGAAGACCCCGACUCCGUCGCCGAGACAGGUCAUCCUCCUGCUGCAGGAACCAGGCUCCUCUCAUAGCCUGGUUCCUGAUCUGUUUGUGUCGCAUUUGACAUAUGGUAUAUCCAAAUCCUACGGCCAUUGACAAAGAUCAUUCAACUAGAGGUAACUUCACCCUGUAUAGGGGUAGGCAUAACUAAUAUAGGGCCAACCCUACUUCUCCUGUAAUUGUGUGUGUGUGUGUUCUGCAGGGCAUCCUGUCGGGCAUCGGGGAGUCCCUCCCUGACCAGUUUCAGGAGGUAGUCACAUGGAAUGCAUUUCAAUUAACAGAAUUCGUCAAUACGUCCAACUGGCCUCACAACCACAGACCACCUGUAACCACACCAGCCCAGGACCUCCACAUCCGGCUUCUUCACCUGCGGGAUCGUAUGAGACCAGUCACCCAGACAGCUGAUGAAACUGAGGAGUAUUUCUGUCUGUAAUAAAGCCCUUUUGUGGGGAAAAAAUAA
Molecule: long non-coding RNA, 849 nt
Organism: Salvelinus fontinalis (brook trout)
Lineage: Eukaryota; Metazoa; Chordata; Actinopteri; Salmoniformes; Salmonidae
Exons: 4
Source: RefSeq, a predicted model, not a curated record